This 253-nucleotide ribosomal RNA is filed under the name uncultured bacterium. RNAcentral's name for it is "partial 16S ribosomal RNA". It matches the Rfam family "Bacterial small subunit ribosomal RNA", at positions 524 to 776 of the family's 1533-position model. The record is from RNAcentral.
GACGGAUGGUGCAAGCGUUGUUCGGAAUCACUGGGCGUAAAGGGUGCGUAGGCGGCUGUGCAAGUCUGGCGUGAAAGCCCCGGGCUCAGCCCGGGAAGUGCGCUCAAAACUGCGCAGCUCGAGUGCCGGAGGGGAGAGUGGAAUUCCUGGUGUGGCGGUGAAAUGCGUAGAUAUCAGGAGGAAUACCGGUGGCGAAAGCGACUCUCUGGACGGCAACUGACGCUGAGACACGAAAGCGUGGGGAGCAAACAGG